AGCCAGCAGCCGCGGUAAUACAGAGACGGCAAGCGUUGUUCGGAUUCACUGGGCGUAAAGGGUCCGCAGGUGGUGAAGCAAGUCUGAUGUGAAAUCCCGCAGCUUAACUGCGGAACUGCAUCGGAAACUACUUCGCUAGAGGUUGGUAGAGGAGUCUGGAAUUCUCGGUGUAGCGGUGAAAUGCGUAGAUAUCGAGAGGAACACCAGUUGCGAAGGCGAGACUCUGGACCAUACCUGACACUCAGGGACGAAAGCGUGGGGAGCAAACGGGAUUAGAUACCCCGGUAGUCCACGCCCUAAACUGUGCUUACUUGGUGUGGGAGGAUUCGACCCCUUCCGUGCCGGAGCUAACGCGUUAAGUAAGCCGCCUGGGGAGUACGGCCGCAAGGUUAAAACUCAAAGGAAUUGACGGGGGCCCGCACAAGU
Molecule: ribosomal RNA, 426 nt
Filed under: uncultured bacterium
Lineage: Bacteria
Description: bacterial SSU rRNA
Rfam family: Bacterial small subunit ribosomal RNA
Source: RNAcentral